This 497-nucleotide ribosomal RNA is filed under the name uncultured bacterium. RNAcentral describes it as "partial 16S ribosomal RNA". It matches the Rfam family "Bacterial small subunit ribosomal RNA", at positions 28 to 507 of the family's 1533-position model. The record is from RNAcentral.
GAUGAACGCUGGCGGCGUGCCUAAUACAUGCAAGUCGAGCGAACGGACGAGAAGCUUGCUUCUCUGAUGUUAGCGGCGGACGGGUGAGUAACACGUGGAUAACCUACCUAUAAGACUGGGAUAACUUCGGGAAACCGGAGCUAAUACCGGAUAAUAUUUUGAACCGCAUGGUUCAAAAGUGAAAGACGGUCUUGCUGUCACUUAUAGAUGGAUCCGCGCUGCAUUAGCUAGUUGGUAAGGUAACGGCUUACCAAGGCAACGAUGCAUAGCCGACCUGAGAGGGUGAUCGGCCACACUGGAACUGAGACACGGUCCAGACUCCUACGGGAGGCAGCAGUAGGGAAUCUUCCGCAAUGGGCGAGAGCCUGACGGAGCAACGCCGCGUGAGUGAUGAAGGUCUUCGGAUCGUAAAACUAUGUUAUUAGGGAAGAACAUAUGUGUAAGUAACUGUGCACAUCUUGACGGUACCUAAUCAGAAAGCCACGGCUAACUACGUG